CCUACGGGGGACAGCAGUGGGGAAUAUUGGACAAUGGGGGGAACCCUGAUCCAGCGACGCCGCGUGAGUGAAGAAGUAUUUCGGUAUGUAAAGCUCUAUCAGCAGGGAAGAAAGAAAUGACGGUACCUGACUAAGAAGCCCCGGCUAACUACGUGCCAGCAGCCGCGGUAAUACGUAGGGGGCAAGCGUUAUCCGGAUUUACUGGGUGUAAAGGGAGCGUAGACGGCGAUGCAAGUCUGAGGUGAAAGGCGGGGGCCCAACCCCCGGACUGCUUUGGAAACUGUAUGGCUGGAGUGCAGGGGAGGUAAGUGGAAUUCCUAGUGUAGCGGUGAAAUGCGUAGAUAUUAGGAGGAACACCAGUGGCGAAGGCGGCUUACUGGACUGUAACUGACGUUGAGGCUCGAAAGCGUGGGGAGCAAACAGGAUUAGAUACCCUUGUAGUC
RNAcentral lists this ribosomal RNA (443 nucleotides) under uncultured bacterium. Its description in RNAcentral is "partial 16S ribosomal RNA". It matches the Rfam family "Bacterial small subunit ribosomal RNA", at positions 338 to 795 of the family's 1533-position model. The record is from RNAcentral.